CCCUUUUCCCCCAGCCGUAUUUGCUGUCAAUGAGACCACACGAUCCCUCAACAGAAUUCUGGAAAAGAGCCUGAGGACACUUACCUGCAGCAACCAUUAUAUGCAGACUGGAUAAACAUUCUAAUGGGUCUUGUACAUACAAGUAUUUUAUGUAAUGCUUAGAUACCUUUACCCAAGGCUCAGUUGGCUGUGGCUUUCCCCUGUCCUCCCAGCUAGCUUUAGAAAUAAACGCAGCCCAACCAAAUAAGAACAAGAAAAAGCUAUUUAUUCAGAGCUUGCCAUAGCAAGGGAGUCAGCCAGCAUCACUUGCGUUUUGGCAGACACUCAAAGGAAGAUAGAGGAGAGCGAAACCUUUAUUGCAGAAGAAAAAGAAGACUUGGUGUGCUCUGAUUGCAGCUGUUGUCAUGGGGAACCUGAAGCUGCUUUUUGAUAGCUCCAUGGAUGUCAAUGGUGAAUUAUUAACAGUCAAUCAAUAGAAUGGAAAACUUCUGCAGGGCUUUGCCGUCAUGGAAAGAAGUUCCUGGUAUAAAACAGAAUGGCGGAUAAAACCAGAUUGUAGCUUCACACCAUAUGAUAUCAUAUGAUAUUAUCAUGGUUAUGAAAAAUAGAAUCUAUACAUAUAUGUGAAUAGCUAUAUGAAUUGGGAAGAAUGUUUAUUAAAAUAUUAGCAUCAGUUAUAU
RNAcentral lists this long non-coding RNA (680 nucleotides) under Homo sapiens (human). RNAcentral describes it as "HSALNT0227391". Lineage: Eukaryota; Metazoa; Chordata; Mammalia; Primates; Hominidae. The record is from RNAcentral.